AGUGAACGCUGGCGGUAGGCCUAACACAUGCAAGUCGAACGGCAGCACAGUAAGAGCUUGCUCUUACGGGUGGCGAGUGGCGGACGGGUGAGGAAUAUAUCGGAAUCUACUUUUUCGUGGGGGAUAACGUAGGGAAACCUACGCUAAUACCGCAUACGACCUACGGGUGAAAGCAGGGGAUCUUCGGACCUUGCGCGAUUGAAUGAGCCGAUGUCGGAGUAGCUAGUUGGCGGGGUAAAGGCCCACCAAGGCGACGAUCCGUAGCUGGUCUGAGAGGAUGAUCGGCCACACUGGAACUGAGACACGGUCCAGACUCCUACGGGAGGCAGCAGUGGGGAAUAUUGGACAAUGGUGGCGAGCCUGAUCCAGCCAUACCGCGUGGGUGAAGAAGGCCUUGGGGUUGUAAAGCCCUUUUGUUGGGAAAGAAAAGCAGCAGGUUGAUACCCCGCUGUUCUGACGGUACCCAAAAAAUAAGCACCGGCUAACUUCGUG
Molecule: ribosomal RNA, 492 nt
Filed under: uncultured bacterium
Lineage: Bacteria
Description: partial 16S ribosomal RNA
Rfam family: Bacterial small subunit ribosomal RNA
Source: RNAcentral